This 409-nucleotide ribosomal RNA is filed under the name uncultured microorganism. RNAcentral's name for it is "bacterial SSU rRNA". It matches the Rfam family "Bacterial small subunit ribosomal RNA", at positions 509 to 917 of the family's 1533-position model. The record is from RNAcentral.
CAGCAGCCGCGGUAAUACGUAGGUGGCGAGCGUUAUCCGGAAUUACUGGGCGUAAAGGGUGUGUAGGUGGCUGCCAUAGUCGGGCGUGAAAUCCCGGGGCUUAACCUCGGGUUUGCGUUCGAUACUUGGUGGCUGGAGUGCGGGAGAGGGAAGUGGAAUUCCCGGUGUAGCGGUGAAACGCGUAGAUAUCGGGAGGAACGCCGGUGGCGAAGGCGGCUUCCUGGCCCGUUACUGACGCUGAGGCACGAAAGCCAGGGGAGCGAACCGGAUUAGAUACCCGGGUAGUCCUGGCUGUAAACCAUGGGCGCUAGGUGUGGGUGGUGGUGAGCCAUCUGUGCCGAAGCUAACGCGUUAAGCGCCCCGCCUGGGGAGUACGGUCGCAAGGCUGAAACUUAAAGGAAUUGGCGGG